Molecule: long non-coding RNA, 1759 nt
Organism: Oryzias melastigma (Indian medaka)
Lineage: Eukaryota; Metazoa; Chordata; Actinopteri; Beloniformes; Adrianichthyidae
Exons: 2
Source: RefSeq, a predicted model, not a curated record
AAAAAGUUUGACAUUUGACAUUUUUUUUUCAAAAUGUUUUAUUUGGGUUUCCAAUAAUUUUGGCCCUAAAAUAGCUCCAUAAAUUAUCACCAAUUCUGACUUAAUGGUUGAAGCUACUUUACAGAACGUCUGUGUUCAAGAGUUAAAGGAUAAAAGGUUAAUAAAAUAACAACAGGAGAAUCUGUUAAAUUUGUUCAGAUCAAGACUCAUUAGGACAUCACUAAUGUAAACAUCCUGAAACCAGAUGUUUCUUCUGAUGAUGGUUUUGGUCGUUUUUGUCUGUUAGCGCUAAAAGCUAACAUGAACUUUGAGAAGUUCCUGCAGGAAAACCGAGUCUUUGUCACCGACAAACACGGAUCUGUCGGCCGCGGCUGCAGUGACACAUGUGGAGCGACGGGCUGAGAGCUGGGGGGUGCGAACAGACAGUGACAGCGUGGGGCGGGGCCCCAGCCAAUCAGCUGAGAGCAAAGCUGGAGGAGGGGGGCGCAGAGGCCGACCAUCCAACAGAAACUUCAUGGGGUUUGUCACGCGGGAACAGUCCUUGGCAUCAACCCAUCCGCCCACAUGUGACCCCCCCAGCUCUCACCAAACCUCAGUCCCGUUCUAAAUAAUUCACUCUGCAGCCAUUCCCUUCCACCUGAGGGGCUUGUCUCCUGGUGUCACCAGCGGGACGAUUUAACAGCUCCCGAAAGGUCACCGUCCCCCCCCUCGCACACACAAACUCCCUCAAACAGAUUGAAUCAUGACGCUCAGCGGCACCCCCAAGGGUGAAAGUGCUCCUGUGUUUACCUGUUCACAAAUUGGACCUUGAGGGCUGCUUCUACAAGGACGUCCAUUUUCACGUUUAUGACCCCCCCACAUGUCAAUAAAGGCCAGCGAGGGGAGAGGACGUGUUCUCCACUAAGAGCCUUCCCAGGUUCUCCUGCAGUCCUGAACACCGAGGAUUGAUUUUUGGUGGAGGACUAAUGGAGCUUAGACUGAACUGAUCAACCUUCAUCCCUGAAACGACUCGUCCAACAACCAAAUCCUCACGGAGGCUGAUGGGAAAAACAAAUCUGAGAUGCAGAGAUCUGCUGCUCUGCUCGUCAUGUUCUGACCCCUGAAGCCUCAUCAGGGAUCACCGCUGCACCCCCACACGCCCAGGUUCACUGAGACAUGCUGGAUGUGAGCUGCACAUCAGUUUGAAGAAACAAACUUCAUUCUGCAGCUCCAACAGGAUUAGUGGUUUACUAGAGACGGACUCACAGAAGCUUUUAGAACUGACUUUACAUUAGUCGUAAUGGUACGAUCAUCAUUUUAGCCUGUUGCUACACAUUUCUGUUCCUGCAUUUCCUUUGUUGGUUAAGAAUCAUUUGAAGUGUUGAAGGCGAUGUUUCAUCAAACCUUUAGGGUGUAUUCAGACUGGGAAAAUGAUUUGUUCUGGAUCGAGUCCUGAACCUUACGUCUGGUCUGUAUCGUUUUCCAGACCAGAUCUCCUAAACAAAACCAUGUGACUAAAGAUCUAUUCAGUCAUUGGGCAGCAUUUGCAAAUCAUUGCCAGGAUAGUUCACUGACUUUAUAUUUCUCUGACCAAUUCUGAACGUCUGAAUCAACGUCAGCUUCAACACCCUUUACUGCUGCUCUGGUACGGUGCUGCAAGGCGGUUUCUGAGGAUGCUACGGCUACGAGGUACGCUAAUGACUGAUUAUGACAGAUAAACUGUAGGGAAAACAGUGUGAGAAGCAAUGUGUAUCACAUUAAAAGAUGUUCUAAUGAGCCU